Molecule: non-coding RNA, 21 nt
Filed under: Caenorhabditis elegans
Lineage: Eukaryota; Metazoa; Nematoda; Chromadorea; Rhabditida; Rhabditidae
Source: RNAcentral
UCAAUACACUCAAUUCACAUU